Diorhabda carinulata is the source of this 932-nucleotide long non-coding RNA. RefSeq lists it as uncharacterized. The record is from RefSeq and is a predicted model, not a curated record. NCBI's taxonomy places the organism in Eukaryota, Metazoa, Arthropoda, Insecta, Coleoptera, Chrysomelidae. The transcript has 2 exons.
AUAACAGUUUUAUUUUGACAGCUGACUGAACGAUGCAUUCAUGUGUGAAGGUGAUGUGAGGUUAUUUCAAUUUUAAUAUAUUAUUUACAGCAAAGUAUAAUGAGUUUUUACACAAAGUAAUUGCAGUUAUGAAAUAUCGACACAAAGGUAUAAAUCUACACGAAAAAAUUGCUUGGAAAGACAUAACCUUAAUAUGAAUGAUAUAUAAAACCAUUGAGGACGACGAUGUAAAUUUCUCAACAUUCUAUCGAUCAUGCCCCACAGAUGUUCAAGCAGAGACAAAUUUGAGGAUCUUGAAGGCCAAUCAAAUGGAGAAUUGAGAUUGUUUUUGUGGAAUAGCGACAUUUUCAUAUAGGAUAAGGUAUAUUUUGGGUUUGGCGCUGAUAUAGGGAAGAUUUUUCUCUGCAGGUCUGGGAUUAUAGUGAUUUUUAGGAAGGAGCUAAUCUUCGUGUGGCAUCAGCUCCCUGCGUAUGCUUCACCUACAAUCGCGCAUGGAAUUGAUUUUUAAAUAACAAUAAUGUAGAAAAAAGAAAUGGGUCAACCAUCCAAACGGAUUUCCAAUAGUGUGUGUCGUUGGUUGUUAAGCUUGCAUAGUCAACGAUCUUAAUGAAAUAGGGCAUUUUUGAGGUACCAGAAACUUCUGAAUCCCUUGUAAUAUGUUUAGUAUUAGUCGGCUUAUGUAUCGGAAUUUCAAUACUGCAUUUUUUUAUUAAUUAAAGGUUAAACCUGUACAUAUAUUUUAGUUAACGUUAGAAAUGAAACCGGUUGUAUGGGAAUAAAAGGUUUAAAGGAAUAUAAACAGACUUUCGAUUAGAAAAAAUAAGCAAUAACUGAAAAAUUUUUACAAAUACUUAUCGAAAACAAGUUUUAUAAAAGCCUAAAGAGUCAGAGGGUUGUGGCAUACUGAAAGAUUAUGUAAAAAGGUCAUUGAA